Long non-coding RNA from Nomascus leucogenys (northern white-cheeked gibbon), 806 nucleotides. RefSeq lists it as uncharacterized. NCBI's taxonomy places the organism in Eukaryota, Metazoa, Chordata, Mammalia, Primates, Hylobatidae. The transcript is spliced from 5 exons. The record is from RefSeq and is a predicted model, not a curated record.
CCAUCCCUCCCUGCACACAGAAACAGGAGGUGCACCCAGGGAGCCCUGAGGCCUGGGAGACCCAUCUCCACGCAGCGCCCCACGAGGCAAGCACAGCACUGAGGCUCACCUAGGGCUGUGCCCCGACAGGUCAUGAGGGCCCUGAGCUCAGCACUGCUGCUGCCCCUUGUGGGGAACGCCGCUGACUGCAUGGAUCGUUGUGAGGAUGAAGUCAGAUCACGGACAUCAAUCACUACGCACGAUUUCCUGCACACAAUACAUCUGCUGUUGCAAGGAGCUUAUUUAAAGAAAUGGAAGUUUAUCGUCAUGUCAGUGCUGUAUCUUUGAAGUUUUUGUGCGUUUUUUUUUUUUAAAGCAAGUAAUUCCCAUAAAAAUGGAACUCAAGGGGAGAAGGGAUAUCUCUUAAAGAAAUAACAGAGAUGGGGUCUUGCGAUGUUGCCCAGGCUGGUCUCCAGUUUCUGGUCACUGAGGAGCGAAGAAGCAAAAUGGAACGGAAGUGGCCUGCGGUCAGAGAGUUCAUGGAAAUUUGCUGGUCCUGCCCUGAACACUCAGACCUGACGCACACAUUCCUUUGCAUGGCUGCAGUAAACAGCAGCAUCAAGAUCCAGGGUUGGAGACCACUCUCCAGUAUUCUCUUGGCCUCCUUCAAUAGUGAUGCAUCUUAUUUCUCACAGCAGCCAUGACAGUUCAUUCUUGAGAUCAAUAACUGCCCACAUAGCAAUGUGCAACUGUGCCUCAGGCUACUCCACAGCCUCUUAAUGUCAAGAACACAUUCUUGCAUGAUUAUUGGAUUAAACAAUUGUCUU